RNAcentral lists this ribosomal RNA (407 nucleotides) under Salmonella enterica subsp. enterica serovar Enteritidis. RNAcentral describes it as "partial 23S ribosomal RNA". It matches the Rfam family "Bacterial large subunit ribosomal RNA", at positions 161 to 589 of the family's 2925-position model. Lineage: Bacteria; Pseudomonadati; Pseudomonadota; Gammaproteobacteria; Enterobacterales; Enterobacteriaceae. The record is from RNAcentral.
AAUCCAUAGGUUAAUGAGGCGAACCGGGGGAACUGAAACAUCUAAGUACCCCGAGGAAAAGAAAUCAACCGAGAUUCCCCCAGUAGCGGCGAGCGAACGGGGAGGAGCCCAGAGCCUGAAUCAGCAUGUGUGUUAGUGGAAGCGUCUGGAAAGGCGCGCGAUACAGGGUGACAGCCCCGUACACAAAAGCGCAUGUGCUGUGAGCUCGAUGAGUAGGGCGGGACACGUGGUAUCCUGUCUGAAUAUGGGGGGACCAUCCUCCAAGGCUAAAUACUCCUGACUGACCGAUAGUGAACCAGUACCGUGAGGGAAAGGCGAAAAGAACCCCGGCGAGGGGAGUGAAAAAGAACCUGAAACCGUGUACGUACAAGCAGUGGGAGCCCCACCACCAAAGCAUUUGCUGUACC